RNAcentral lists this ribosomal RNA (289 nucleotides) under uncultured bacterium. RNAcentral's name for it is "partial 16S ribosomal RNA". It matches the Rfam family "Bacterial small subunit ribosomal RNA", at positions 335 to 610 of the family's 1533-position model. The record is from RNAcentral.
ACUCCUACGGGAGGCAGCAGUGGGAAUAUUGCACAAUGGGAAGGCCAUCGAUGCAGCCAUGCCGCGCUGUGUGAAGAAGGCCAAUUCGGGCUUUGGUUAAAGACACUUUCAGUAGGGAGGAAGGUAGUGUAGUUAACACCUGCAUUAUUUGACGUUACCUACAGAAGAAGCACCGGCUAACUCCGUGCCAGCAGCCGCGGUAAUACGGAGGGUGCGAGCGUUAAUCGGAAUUACUGGGCGUAAAGCGCAUGCAGGUGGUUUGUUAAGUCAGAUGUGAAAGCCCGGGCUC